CCCUUAGAUGUUCUGGGCCGCACGCGCGCUACACUGAUGCAUUCAACGAGUCUAAAACCUGGUCUGAUAGGGCUGGGUAAUCUUUUGAAUGUGCAUCGUGAUUGGGAUAGAUGAUUGCAAUUCUUCAUCUUCAACGAGGAAUGCCUAGUAAACGCAAGUCAUCAGCUUGCAUUGAUUACGUCCCUGCCCUUUGUACACACCGCCCGUCGCUCCUACCGAUUGAAUGUUCCGAUGAAUACCAUGGACUGAGAGUAUGAAUGGGUUCGCCUAUUUCUGCUUCUCGGGAAGUGGAGUAAAUCUUAACAUUUAGAGGAAGGAGAAGUCGUAGCA
Molecule: ribosomal RNA, 330 nt
Filed under: uncultured eukaryote
Lineage: Eukaryota
Description: partial 18S ribosomal RNA
Rfam family: Eukaryotic small subunit ribosomal RNA
Source: RNAcentral